CCCUUCUUAGCUCAGUUGGAAGAGCGCAAGACUGUAAUGGGUUUCUCUUGUCAUCUUGAGGUCUCUGGGUAGGUUCUCUCGCCUCUCAACAUGUCUACACUCGUCACUAACCUGUCAACGUCAGUUCGAUCCCGGAAGAAGGGA
Saxophila tyrrhenica is the source of this 144-nucleotide non-coding RNA. The record is from the annotation of a RefSeq genome assembly. Lineage: Eukaryota; Fungi; Ascomycota; Dothideomycetes; Mycosphaerellales; Extremaceae.